GUUUCCGAUGGUGAACCUGCGGAAGGAUCAUUGCACACACAAAUUCGAGCCAACCCGCGGCGAACGAACACAUUGUCCCCCUCGGCGGGUCGUGGCGCCUCGCGGCGUCGCGGCCGGCCACCUCCCUUCGUCGCGUCCCGCGCGGCGAGGGGGAUUCCACGAUGCCUUCACCGAAUGACUGAGUCCCUUCGACUUGACCCUGGAGUGAGUUCCGUCCCCUUGGCUCCGCAGGGCUUGCCUUGCGCGUCGCGAAGGGGGUCGGCGCUGGUUACCUUGCGAGUUGAAACUUAGAACCGAGAACAACUCUCAGCAACGGAUAUCUUGGCUCUUGCAACGAUGAAGAACGCAGCGAAAUGCGAUACGUAGUGUGAAUUGCAGAAUUCCGCGAAUCAUCGAGUCUUUGAACGCAAGUUGCGCCCGAGGCUUGUCCAAGGGCAUUUCCGCUAGAGCGUCACCGCGCCCCCCACCGAUCCACUCCCCCCGUGGGAGUUCGAGUGGACUUGGCCGUCCCGGCGGCCUGCGAAGGCGGGCUUAAAGGGUCGGCUGAAAUGGAUGGAAUUGGGCCGCCGUGGUGACACAGUCCGCGAUCGGGUGAUCCGAGCUCCUCCGUGAGCCCGGAAUUUUUCUAAGUGCGUGGCUGCGUCCCCCAGUUGGCUUUGGUUACCUCAUGCAGGUCGAGCGCGCCCCCGCGGCGCGCGUCACGCAUCAAACCUCUAAUCGGAAAAGACUACCCGCUGAG
Molecule: ribosomal RNA, 739 nt
Filed under: Hylocomium splendens
Lineage: Eukaryota; Viridiplantae; Streptophyta; Bryopsida; Hypnales; Hylocomiaceae
Description: eukaryotic LSU rRNA
Rfam family: 5.8S ribosomal RNA (bases 302-454)
Source: RNAcentral